GUAGGGAGCGAGGAGCACAUGGCUAGGACUUUUGAGUCUCCAGUCGGCGCCUCUGGGGAAUUCGUCUCAGACACCGCCGAGCAAACAGGAGGAACUCGUGGGGCUUAAGCAGCGUCCCCGAGGACACAGAGACAACAGCCGCCUCUAUCUCCGCAUCUCACAUGGGGAAUUUGGUUGCCCUGGAGAGGGAAAGACAAGUCAUUAGUCAGAGAUGACACAGCACAAAAAUCAGCAAGCUUCCUCCCAUGGCCCCUUGCUAGGAGGGAGAAAACAGGGGUCUUGCGGGCCGGAUAGAAUGGCUUGGUGGGCCGCAUCCAGCCCGUGGGCAGCAUUUUGCCCACCUCUGCGAUCGGGGAACAGUGAGCAGGAUGUGCCCAGCUCAGUGUCCAGUCGCCCAGGAGACACAGCAGCAGCAGGAGAGGAACAAAUGCAAGCCUGAAGGGGUGCGGGGGUGCCAGUUCCUAGAUCAUCUGCCUUUAUCUCGGGCUCUGGGAGGAGCAGCGGGCAAUGCACAGAAGCCAACAUGCUGGUCCCGAUGGUGACCAAAAGGUGCCAGUUGCACCAAACCAUUUAAACCUGAAUGAAUGGAAGAAUAAAGCACUUGA
Molecule: long non-coding RNA, 605 nt
Organism: Alligator sinensis (Chinese alligator)
Lineage: Eukaryota; Metazoa; Chordata; Crocodylia; Alligatoridae
Exons: 3
Source: RefSeq, a predicted model, not a curated record